GUGCUUACUUCGGCAGCUCAUAUAUUAAAAUUAGAACGAUACAGAGAAAAUUAGAAUGGCCUCUGCACAAGGAAGAUGUGCAAAUUUGUGAAGCGUUCCAUAUUUUG
Cercocebus atys (sooty mangabey) is the source of this 107-nucleotide small nuclear RNA. The record is from Ensembl. NCBI's taxonomy places the organism in Eukaryota, Metazoa, Chordata, Mammalia, Primates, Cercopithecidae.